This 1043-nucleotide long non-coding RNA is filed under the name Chinchilla lanigera (long-tailed chinchilla). RNAcentral's name for it is "lncRNA (ENSCLAG00000028618.1)". Lineage: Eukaryota; Metazoa; Chordata; Mammalia; Rodentia; Chinchillidae. The record is from RNAcentral.
GAUAGGGCCACAAAGCAGAAUUAUUUUUAGUCACCAUAAAAAAAAACAGGGAAAAAAAUCACUAUUAGUAUGAGUAACUUUAGAUAAAAAGUUAUCAAGAUCUAUAGCUUGUACCUAUUUUGCUUUUUUAAAAUUUUUUUUUUCUUUUUGAGACUGGGUUUUGCUAUGUAGUUUAGGUUUGCCUUGAACUCACAUAGCCUAGGCUUCUCUCUAACUCUUGGCAUUCCUCCUGUCUCAGCCUCCUGAGCACUGGGAUCACAGGUAUGUGCUACUGCUCCUGUCUAGCCUGCACAUUUUUAACCCAGAAAUUAAUCAGUCUACCUCUCCUACCUUGUAUCUUGAGAAUAGCUGAUUCAAAUAGACUCAUACUGAAUUUUGUCAUGAGAACUAGUUACUGGUGUGAGCACAGCUUAAACGUAACAGUGUAAAACAACAGUAAACACUUCCUUGUUUAACUCUAAGCUCUUAUGCUAUGGGUUUCUGACUUUAGUUUAUGUUUAAAUAUACUGCAGGUCCUGAAUUCUGGAAUUUGUGUGCAGCAGAGAGGGCAUCCCGGGGACAAGGGCCGUUCUCCAGAAAACCCAGCGAGACAUUUCACUGCACGAGGGUCCCAUCUUCAUCCUGCUUCCCGAAGUUAUUCCUAAACCUGCUCAAUGGGGGUGCCGAGGCGAGAGGAUCCCUACUACCUGAAAAUCUACUAAACAAUUUUGGUCACCAAUUUCUACUUUACUAGAGCAUCCAGAGACGCAAUGAGCAGGUCUGGCAUGAGUUGCCUGUAUAUCUCCAGGCACAGAACUUUGAUUAGGGCAUACACCAACCUCUGAGGCUACAGCCAAAGGAAAUCAUGAUUCUGUUGACAAAAGAAGAAGAUAGGAACCCUGGAAGGCCCCAGGCAUUUACAAAGAUAACCCUCAUCGCCUCCUCAGAUUGUUCAGGAUAAAGGAAACAGCAUGUCUAAAGUAUAUUUUAUGUGAGUUGAGUGUGGUGGCACAAACACUCCUGUAAUCUCAGCACUCAGGAGGCUGAGACAGGAGGAUUGCUUU